CACGUAGAUUACCAACCCUUUGGUGGGGGACAACCCAGGGAAACGUGGCGUAAUACCGCAUAUGGAUUACGAUUCAAAGCCUUCGGGCGCCAAAGGACGGGUCUGCGGCCCAUUAUUUAAUCCUAGUUGGUGGGGUAAAGGCCUACCAAGGGUACGAUGGGUAGCUGGUCUGAGAGGAUGAUCAGCCACACUGGAACUGAGACACGGUCCAGACUCCUACGGGAGGCAGCAGUGGGGAAUAUUGCGCAAUGGGCGAAAGCCUGACGCAGCCAUCCCGCGUGAGUGAUGAAGGCCCUCGGG
RNAcentral lists this ribosomal RNA (300 nucleotides) under uncultured Myxococcales bacterium. RNAcentral describes it as "bacterial SSU rRNA". It matches the Rfam family "Bacterial small subunit ribosomal RNA", at positions 114 to 422 of the family's 1533-position model. Lineage: Bacteria; Pseudomonadati; Myxococcota; Myxococcia; Myxococcales. The record is from RNAcentral.